Molecule: ribosomal RNA, 836 nt
Filed under: uncultured archaeon
Lineage: Archaea
Description: bacterial SSU rRNA
Rfam family: Archaeal small subunit ribosomal RNA
Source: RNAcentral
GCGAGUCGAAUGUAGCAAUACAUGGCGUACUGCUCAGUAACACGUGGACAACCUACCCUCCGGACGGGUAUAAACCCGGGAAACUGGGUAUAAUCCCCGAUAGAUCUCGGUCGCUGGAAAGCCCCGAGAUCGAAAGCUCCGGCGCCAGAGGAUGGGUCUGCGGCCUAUCAGGUAGUAGUGGGUGUAGCGUACCUACUAGCCUACGACGGGUACGGGUUGUGAGAGCAAGAGCCCGGAGAUGGAUUCUGAGACACGAAUCCAGGCCCUACGGGGUGCAGCAGGCGCGAAAACUUUACAAUGCCGGCAACGGCGAUAAGGGGACCUCGAGUGCCAGGUUACAAAUCUGGCUGUCGUGAUGCCUAAAAAGCAUUGCAUAGCAAGGGCCGGGCAAGACCGGCGCCAGCCGCCGCGGUAACACCGGCGGCUCGAGUGGUAACCGUUAUUAUUGGGUCUAAAGGGUCUGUAGCCGGCCGGAUAAGUCUCUUGAGAAAUCCAGCAGCUCAACUGUUGGGCUUUCAGGAGAUACUGUCUGGCUCGAGGCCGGGAGAGGUGAGAGGUACUUCAGGGGUAGGGGUGAAAUCUUGUAAUCCUUGAAGGACCACCAGUGGCGAAGGCGUCUCACCAGAACGGACCUGACGGCAAGGGACGAAAGCUAGGGGCACGAACCGGAUUAGAUACCCGGGUAGUCCUAGCCGUAAACGAUACUCGCUAGGUGUCGGCCACGGUGCGACCGUUGUCGGUGCCGUAGGGAAGCCGUGAAGCGAGCCACCUGGGAAGUACGGCCGCAAGGCUGAAACUUAAAGGAAUUGGCGGGGGAGCACCACAACGGGUGGAGC